UACGGAGGGUGCGAGCGUUAUCCGGAAUUACUGGGUUUAAAGGGUGCGUAGGCGGCCAACUAAGUCGGAUGUGAAAUCCCCAGGCUUAACCUGGGAACUGCAUCCGAUACUGGAUGGCUUGAAUCCGGGAGAGGGAUGCAGAAUUCCAGGUGUAGCGGUGAAAUGCGUAGAUAUCUGGAGGAAUACCGGUGGCGAAGGCGGCAUCCUGGACCGGCAUUGACGCUGAUGAGCGAAAGCUAGGGGAGCAAACAGG
This 253-nucleotide ribosomal RNA is filed under the name uncultured bacterium. RNAcentral describes it as "partial 16S ribosomal RNA". It matches the Rfam family "Bacterial small subunit ribosomal RNA", at positions 524 to 776 of the family's 1533-position model. The record is from RNAcentral.